RNAcentral lists this ribosomal RNA (518 nucleotides) under uncultured bacterium. Its description in RNAcentral is "bacterial SSU rRNA". It matches the Rfam family "Bacterial small subunit ribosomal RNA", at positions 8 to 518 of the family's 1533-position model. The record is from RNAcentral.
AGAGUUUGAUCCUGGCUCAGGAUGAACGCUAGCGACAGGCUUAACACAUGCAAGUCGAGGGGCAGCGCGAGGGCAGCAAUACCUUGGCGGCGACCGGCGCACUGGUGAGUAACACGUAUGCGACCUGCCCGGACAGGGGGAUAAACCCGGGAAACUGGGCCUAAUACCCCGUAAGCCUGAGGGAUGCAUGUCCUUGAGGUGAAAGAUCCGUCGGUCCGGGAUGGGCAUGCGGCGCAUUAGCUGGUUGGCGGGGCAACGGCCCACCAAGGCGACGAUGCGUAGGGGUUCUGAGAGGAAGGUCCCCCACACUGGUACUGAGACACGGACCAGACUCCUACGGGAGGCAGCAGUGAGGAAUAUUGGUCAAUGGACGAUAGUCUGAACCAGCCAAAAGUCGCGUGCGGGAUGAAGGCCCUCCGGGUCGUAAACCGCUUUAGCCGGGGAGUAACGUGGGGGACGCGUCCCUCAGUGAGAGUACCCGGAGAAUAAGCAUCGGCUAACUCCGUGCCAGCCGCUGC